UGGGGAAUAUCGCACAAUGGGCGCAAGCCUGAUGCAGCCAUGCCGCGUGUGUGAAGAAGGCCUUCGGGUUGUAAAGCACUUUCAGCGAGGAGGAAGGUGGUGGACUUAAUACGUUCAUCAAUUGACGUUACUCGCAGAAGAAGCACCGGCUAACUCCGUGCCAGCAGCCGCGGUAAUACGGGAGGGUACAAGCGUUAAUCGGAAUUACUGGGCGUAAAGCGCACGCAGGCGGUUUGUUAAGUCAGAUGUGAAAUCCCCGGGCUCAACCUGGGAACUGCAUUUGAAACUGGCAAGCUAGAGUCUCGUAGAGGGGGGUAGAAUUCCAGGUGUAGCGGUGAAAUGCGUAGAGAUCUGGAGGAAUACCGGUGGCGAAGGCGGCCCCCUGGACGAAGACUGACGCUCAGGUGCGAAAGCGUGGGGAGCAAACAGGAUUAGAUACCCUGGUAGUCCACGCUGUAACGAUGUCGAUUUGGAGGUUGUGCCCUUGAGGCGUGGCUUCCGGAGCUAACGCGUUAAAUCGACCGCCUGGGGAGUACGGCCGCAAGGUU
RNAcentral lists this ribosomal RNA (548 nucleotides) under uncultured bacterium. RNAcentral's name for it is "partial 16S ribosomal RNA". It matches the Rfam family "Bacterial small subunit ribosomal RNA", at positions 355 to 895 of the family's 1533-position model. The record is from RNAcentral.